Molecule: ribosomal RNA, 716 nt
Filed under: uncultured bacterium
Lineage: Bacteria
Description: bacterial SSU rRNA
Rfam family: Archaeal small subunit ribosomal RNA
Source: RNAcentral
GGGGUAGGGGUAAAAUCCUGUAAUCCUAGAAAGGAACCCACCGGUGGGCGAAGGGUUCUGACUAGAACGAAUUCGACGUGAGGAACGAAGGCCUGGGGCGCAAACGGGAUUAGAUACCCCGGUAGUCCAGGGGUAAACCUCUGCGGGCUUGGUGUUGGGGGUCCUUAGUGGGCGCCCAGUGCCGGAGAGAAGUUGUUAAGCCUGCUGCUUGGGGAGUAUGUCCGCAAGGAUGAAACUUAAAGGAAUUGGGCGGGGGAGCACCGCAACGGGAGGAGCGUGCGGUUCAAUUGGAUUCAACGCCGGACAACUCACCAGGAGCGACGAUCACAUGAAAGCCAGGCUGAUGACCUUGCUUGAUUCUUCGAGAGGUGGUGCAUGGCCGUCGUCAGUUCGUACCGUAAGGCGUUCUCUUAAGUGAGAUAACGAACGAGACCCUCACCGUUAAUUGCUAGCAUUCUCUCCGGAGGGUGCGCACAUUAACGGGACCGCUGCCGCUAAGACAGAGGAAGGAGAGGUCAACGGUAGGUCCGUAUGCCCCGAAUCUCCUGGGCUACACGCGCGCUACAAAGGUUGGGACAAUGGGUUCCUACAUCGAAAGGUGACGGCAAUCUCGAAACCCAACCGUAGUUCGGAUUGAGGGCUGUAACUCGCCCUCAUGAAGCUGGAUUCCGUAGUAAUCGCUGGUCAACAUCAAGCGGUGAAUAUGCCCCUGCUCC